Molecule: long non-coding RNA, 1081 nt
Filed under: Chrysemys picta bellii (western painted turtle)
Lineage: Eukaryota; Metazoa; Chordata; Testudines; Emydidae
Description: lncRNA (ENSCPBG00000026612.1)
Source: RNAcentral
GAUUUUAAUUCCUCUUAUGUAAAGUACAAAAUAUUCUGUUUAAUCUCUUUCCCUCCUUCCCUCUUUUCAGGACUAUAAAUCUGACGGUAUGACUUUGGCUUCCAGUGCCAGGAACAGUCCUCAAGGUCCAGAGAGCUGUAUCCUCCAUUUAAAAAUGGACUUGUGUGAGUUAAAGGAACUAAAUGACCGGAUCCUGCAAACUCUUGCCCAUGUGAUGGAAAUGAAUGGAAUUAUUCAUGUCAAUAAGCACUACUUACCUGAGCACAUGUUUAUAAGAUCUGUAUAAACAAGGAAGGAUAGAUAAUUAUCAGCUUUCAUGCUUCAGGGCAGAUGCUGAUAUAGCAGACUGGAUCAGGAAGAAAUUUGUCCCAAUAACAUAGUAUGGAAAGAGAAGAUUCACUGUGAGGGUUCAUACUUUCAUCAGAAAUAUUUGGUAUUGACUAUCGUUAGAUAUGUGAUACUGCUGUAUAUGGAUCACUGGGUUGAUUUAUUAGGAUGGUACUGAUGUUUUUACUUGCUCCUCAAGUGCUGUACUAUGUGCAUUGCCUUCUGAAAUAUUUAGAGGUCUUAUUCUGAGCAUUAUAUCCUGAGUGCCAACUAAAAAGAUGCUAGACACCUUGUAUGUUACAUAAUAAUACUAUUAACUGUGCAAAGUGUUGGACAUAUCCCUGCAAACACUUAUUACUAUGAAUAGUCUCAUUGAAUUCAAUGAGAUUAUUCUCACGAGAAAGUUACUCUCACACACAAGUUUUUGCAGAACUAGGCGAAUGUUUGCAUAACUUUGUAUUUCCCUGAAAGAGAAUGAAUAGCUCAAAAAGUGAUACCAAAUGUGAAGUCUUUCACCUAUAGGUUUUCGUUUCAAGCACGAUCUAGGUUGGAUAAGGAUCAAAAGAUAAUUACCACAUAGCUAUUAACCAGAUUAUGUGAAAUGAGUCCAUGAACUCAGUCCAUUUUCCAGUGGACAGAUAUCCACAUUACAAAAAGCCAGCACCUCAUCUGGAAUUAAUUGGCACCCUUCUUUCCAGUUUCAUCAGAAGCCAAAGACUGAAUGAGCAUGGAGACUGAACUAUCUCCCUGUUAG